AGCUCCAAUAGCGUAUAUUAAAAUUGUUGCGGUUAAAACGCUCGUAGUUGGAUAUCUGUCGGGAGGUUUCGGUCGGUCCAAGUGAUGCGGACUCGGAACUUUUCUCGACAUUUGUUCAGUCAAGGAGGAUGCCCUUCAUUGGGUGACCUUCAUUGCUGAAUUUUUACUUUGAGGAAAUGAGAGUGUUCCAAGCAGGCAUUCGCCGUGAAUAUGAUAGCAUGGAAUAAUAGCAUCGGUCCUGGUGCCAGAGCUGUUGGUUUUUGGUGCCGGGAAAGCAUAAUAAGGAUAGUUGGGGGUAUUCGUAUUUAACUGUCAGAGGUGAAAUUCUUGGAUUUUUAAAGACGAACUACUGCGAAGGCAUCUGCCCAGGAUG
Molecule: ribosomal RNA, 373 nt
Filed under: uncultured eukaryote
Lineage: Eukaryota
Description: SSU rRNA
Rfam family: Eukaryotic small subunit ribosomal RNA
Source: RNAcentral